GCAAGUCGAGCGGAACGACGGGAGCUUGCUCCCGGGCGUCGAGCGGCGGACGGGUGAGUAAGGCAUAGGAAUCUGCCCGGUAGUGGGGGAUAACCUGGGGAAACUCAGGCUAAUACCGCAUACGUCCUACGGGAGAAAGCAGGGGACCUUCGGGCCUUGCGCUAUCGGAUGAGCCUAUGUCGGAUUAGCUGGUUGGUGAGGUAAUGGCUCACCAAGGCGACGAUCCGUAGCUGGUCUGAGAGGAUGAUCAGCCACAUCGGGACUGAGACACGGCCCGAACUCCUACGGGAGGCAGCAGUGGGGAAUAUUGGACAAUGGGCGCAAGCCUGAUCCAGCCAUGCCGCGUGUGUGAAGAAGGCCUUCGGGUUGUAAAGCACUUUCAGUGGGGAAGAAGGCCUUUCGGUUAAUAGCCGGGAGGAGCGACAUCACCCACAGAAGAAGCACCGGCUAACUCCGUGCCAGCAGCCGCGGUAAUACGGAGGGUGCGAGCGUUAAUCGGAAUUACUGGGCGUAAAGCGCGCGUAGGCGGCGUGAUAAGCCGGUUGUGAAAGCCCCGGGCUCAACCUGGGAAUGGCAUCCGGAACUGUCAGGCUAGAGUGCAGGAGAGGAAGGUAGAAUUCCCGGUGUAGCGGUGAAAUGCGUAGAGAUCGGGAGGAAUACCAGUGGCGAAGGCGGCCUUCUGGACUGACACUGACGCUGAGGUGCGAAAGCGUGGGUAGCAAACAGGAUUAGAUACCCUGGUAGUCCACGCCGUAAACGAUGUCGACUAGCCGUUGGGGUCCUCGAGACCUUUGUGGCGCAGUUAACGCGAUAAGUCGACCGCCUGGGGAGUACGGCCGCAAGGUUAAAACUCAAAUGAAUUGACGGGGCCCGCACAGCGGUGGAGCAUGUGGUUUAAUUCGAUGCAACGCGAAGAACCUUACCUACC
RNAcentral lists this ribosomal RNA (928 nucleotides) under bacterium CEV15(2011). RNAcentral describes it as "bacterial SSU rRNA". It matches the Rfam family "Bacterial small subunit ribosomal RNA", at positions 57 to 979 of the family's 1533-position model. The record is from RNAcentral.